UCGAGCGGUAGCAGCUCUAGUAGCAAUACUAGAUGCUGACGAGCGGCGGACGGGUGAGUAACACGUAGGAAUCUGCCUCUAAGCGGGGGACAACCAAGGGAUACUUUGGCUAAUACCGCAUAAUAUCGAGAGAUCAAAGCUCCCGUAAGGUGGCACUUAGAGAGGAGCCUGCGUCCGAUUAGAUAGUUGGUAAGGUAACGGCUUACCAAGCCGAUGAUCGGUAAGUGGUCUGAGAGGACGACCAGUCACACUGGGACUGAGACACGGCCCAGACUCCUACGGGAGGCAACACUGGGGAAUCUUGGACAAUGGGGGCAACCCUGAUCCAACGAUGCCGCGUGGGUGAAGAAGGCCUUCGGGUUGUAUAGCCCUCUAGGUUGGGACGAAGGAUACGAGGGGAUAAUACUCCUAUUUUGACGGUACUGACAGAAUAAGCACCGGCAAACUAUGUG
RNAcentral lists this ribosomal RNA (452 nucleotides) under uncultured bacterium. RNAcentral's name for it is "bacterial SSU rRNA". It matches the Rfam family "Bacterial small subunit ribosomal RNA", at positions 62 to 507 of the family's 1533-position model. The record is from RNAcentral.